AAAAGAAAAAAGAUCAGAUCUCCCUUUCUCUUUGAAGACACCAACGGCGCUCCUCUCCUCAGAACGGACAACCUCCCUCCAUGAAAUCUCACCUCUCACCCUCACUCACACAAAAACGUUAUGACUCAAGUUGUUGCUGCUGGUUUGCUGCUGAUUUAUUCAAGUUGUUGCUGAGCUCCAUCUGAAUUUGGCCUUCUCUUAGUGUUUUUCUUGCUUUGAAUAGAUUCGGAAUAGGUUUUCUUGUUCCUCACUGUGUUCCGAAUAGCUUAAAUUAUUGCCAGUUUGCCGCCCUCUGCGGGCUGCCGCUACAGUCCUGUUCGUCAAUUUCUGCAGCGAUAGCUUUUGCACAGGUACAGAAUGUCUAGGCAUGAGAAUAAUGUUCGCCAGGAUGUUUGUGGCAGCACUAGUCGC
Molecule: non-coding RNA, 411 nt
Organism: Nicotiana tabacum (common tobacco)
Lineage: Eukaryota; Viridiplantae; Streptophyta; Magnoliopsida; Solanales; Solanaceae
Source: RefSeq, a predicted model, not a curated record